Molecule: transfer RNA, 85 nt
Filed under: Lentinula boryana
Lineage: Eukaryota; Fungi; Basidiomycota; Agaricomycetes; Agaricales; Omphalotaceae
Also listed under: 1 other name
Description: tRNA-Val
Source: RNAcentral
GGUUCGAUGGCGUAGUUGGUUAUCGCAUCUGUCUAACAUAUAGAGUUUACACAGAAGGUCCCCGGUUCGAGCCCGGGUCGAAUCA